AAAGGUUUAGUUAAAUUAUAACAUUAGUAUGUCAAUCUAAAAUUAUUAAAUAUAAUAACCUUUU
Molecule: transfer RNA, 64 nt
Filed under: Arenivaga sp. B097
Lineage: Eukaryota; Metazoa; Arthropoda; Insecta; Blattodea; Corydiidae
Description: tRNA-Asp
Source: RNAcentral